Perca flavescens (yellow perch) is the source of this 3184-nucleotide long non-coding RNA. RefSeq lists it as uncharacterized. Lineage: Eukaryota; Metazoa; Chordata; Actinopteri; Perciformes; Percidae. The record is from RefSeq and is a predicted model, not a curated record. The transcript is spliced from 5 exons.
UCUUCGAUGAUAUAUGCACGUGACGUCACCGUAACUAGUCAUUUUUGUCUCUUCGCCCUUUAGGCUUGUGUACUAAGCUGAUUCGGAAAUAAUAACGUUUUUUUUAAACUGCAAAGAAUAAAGAAAGACGCGGGACAACUGGAAUCCAGUUCCCAGAUAGUCCUGGCUGCCGGCCCUGCCACUGCUGCUUACUAACAGAGUGUGGACAGCAGGGGAGGAUAGAGUACUCCUCCAGGGGGGUGGGACGCUUCCAGCUGGGUCGCUGAGGUGUGGAGCUCGCCUCGGGGUAAGCCUCUUGUACUUUCUUCAAGGGAAAAUUCCCCAUUUCUCCGUUUCCCAUCGGCUGGCUUGUGGCUUAAAAAGACACACUUUAUUAUACUUUGGAGGUUCCAGGCAGCAGUGGACAGUAUGGAGUUGAUAGUUUGUGUCCAGCCUCAGGACAGAGGGACUCCUAUGUGCUGCUCUGUGGUGGGUUGUGUUCUCUGGAGCAGUUAAAAGCCUGGCAGCUCCACCCCAUGACUGUCCAAACACAGUUGACUUUAGGCAUCCACAUCAAACACAACUCUCUGCGAAGCCCUUCGGAAACUUAACCACAGGGUGCUGAGCUUAUUUAUUUAUUUUCCACAUAUAAAAAUGUGUUUGGCUUCAGAUUUUUUCACAUUUAGAAAAAAAAAGAAGCAAAAUUCACCCGUUAGCGUUUGUAAUUGACGGCACAAAGCUGUAUUUGAAGAACAUUUUUGACACCGCUCCUGGUUGAACUCAACUCCUCUGGACCAAGUCGAAAGCAAGAUUCAGAGCGAGUAACAAGAAAAGACAAGUCAACGAAAGCUCCUUUCAGUCUGCUCCUCAGCGGCACUCACAACGGACAUGUCGGAGUGAAAUGAACUUUCCUGGCAAUGUGUGUUUUAGAGCGCACACACUGCAAUCACUAAUUCAUCCUGCCUUGAGAUCCUUUGACGUUGACGUUUGAGGGUGGAUGCUAUGUGAAAAUGUAAAUAAACUUUAGAGGAGCUUUGGGUCAGUGUGGGAUGAAAUUUAUAGUUUUGGCAUUUACUCUGCAGUCAUCAUUCAUCCCCCUGUCGAGAGCAGAGGCCUUGAUCAGCGAAGCCUCCGUUGGCCCUCAGAUGACCCGCAAGCCUAUCUGACCAGCUGUGGUUCAGAUGCCUUAGUCUGAGAUGUUCACAUCACUGUAAUAUCUGAGACUAUUAACCCCUUCUGCACUUCAACAGCUUUUCCAGUGCUAGCAGGAAAUGCAGAACAUUUAGAUCUUUGGGUUAAAUAUUAAAAGAAAAAAAAAAUUUUUUUUUUUUUAAUCCCAAGUAGUAUCAAGCCUUGGGUUUUGCUGUAUCUGCCACUAAACAUUGUGUUGCUAUCCCAAUACAAUGGAAGGUUAGGGUAAUGGAAAACAAUGUUCCUGACUCUGGAUAAUCUGGAGAUCUCACUGUGGAGAGUUUUAAUUAGGACUUUUUAUGAUGUACAAAGUAGUUCUGAGAAAAGGUUUAAUCAGUGACUUCUGUGUAUUAUCCAAUUAACCAGUACAUUGUUUCUGGAAAGGGAUAUUGCUGUUGAGUUUUCCAAAUUUUUAAUCUCUUUGAGCAUCACAAACAAAUUUCAUUCACUUCCAUACUGGUCUGGUGGCAGAAAACCUGAUAUCUUAAAACCUUGGCACAUAAAAGGAAAACUAUCUGCAUGGCUAGAUACUACUAGAAGUAAAUGACAAAGUAUCUCUUUUUUGUGAUUUGGGUGAACCAACCCUUUUUAAAGGAAGGAAGGAGGGGAAAAGAAACUAGAUUUUAAUGGAUUUGGCAGCCACUCCAAACUCUACAGGGUAUGUGCACUCUGCAACAGAAUGUACAGCCCUGUAAAAGCCAAAUCAAAGUCUAAUAAUGAGAAGGUGGCCUUCAAGCAAAGUGCCAAUUAUUUUAAAUUGCUCCAUUAAAGGCAGCAAUCACAACUGUCAUGUUAGCAUUUGGACAUAACGUCUCACCUCUGGUGGUUGGAGUUCAUGUGGGUGUAACUGUAGUGUAAUAAACACAUGUAGAUUUACAUAACCUCAUGAAACAAAUGAAUUUGUUUGCUGACUGCUUGCCAUAACACAUAACUGACUGACGACAAAAAAGCUUGGCAUUUUCUCACUUCAACUGAGAGAACAAAGUCUUAUGCUGUUUUUCCUCCUUUUAACAGGUGAGUGCUCCAGCUAUUAAUUUGUGUAGGGCCACCUACUUUAAUUGGUCUUAAUCUGGCAUGAGUGGCUUUGAUCUCUCUGACAGUUUGACUGCAUUAGCACGAGUGUGCAGGCUAAUCCUUGCGUAGCUUGUUCUUUUGGCGCAGUCGGAGGCCUGUCCAGCGAUAAUAUGUCAGCUGAGGGAUAAGCCUUCAUCAAACAACCAGGUCUAAGCUUCUGGAAAAUGGGGGUUGAAGGGCCACCAUCAUGCUGUGCUUCAAACAGAGAUAGAGACGUAAAACAACUCUGGCUUUCAGUUUGUAAGCGUUAGAUCAAACCCCAAGAGGGACAUUUUCAAGGUUUUCAAAUUUCCUGUCCUUUAUGCAAACUUGUUGUUGUGUUUUGGCAUCUUAUGUCCUGUGACCGACCACUCAUUGCUUUAUGUUAAACGCUUUUACGCAGUCACCUAACCUCAAGCGAGUCCUGGGUGUUAAAAUGAAUUCUUUAUAUGUGUCAUCCCACCACUGUUCACACACACUGCAUGCAUGAUCCACAUGUCCAAACAGUGGCUUUAUUUGUGCUGUGUCAUUUUAUUAGGAAGUAACAACCAUAUGAAGUGUUUGGCCUGAACUCGAGUUGAACUCUCAUGCAUUAUGAUAACCAUCUCAAAGUCAACAAUAUCUGCUUUCAGAGAGGAAUAGAGAGAUAGUGUUUGAAAUGAAGAAAAUAGCAGCACUUGUGCUUCCCCAGUGAUUAUAUCACACAUCAUGGUGAUUUACUUAUCACGACAGGCAUAUCUUGAGUUCAGUGGAUCUUUUGUUUUUGUGUUCUGUGAUGGAGGAAUGUUAGGUGAUCUUUCUUCAGGGUUGCAUGUGGAAAUGCCAAAUAUAUCAGUUAAUGCUAAUUCAAUAAGUACAGAUAGAAAGCAAAUGGGUUCACAGAGGAUAUUAUAGUCAUGAAUCAAUUUAAGAAUCAUUGUUUUCUCAACUUUUACUGCCUUUGAAAUUUGUAUUUUUAGUA